UGAGACACGAAUCCAGACCCUACGGGGUGCAGCAGGCGCGAAAACUUGGCAAUGCGAGAAAUCGUGACCAGGGAACUCCAAGUGCAUCGGGUAAGACCGAUGCUUUUCUUGACUCUUCAAAGGUCUUGGAAUAAGGGGUGGGUAAGGACGGUGCCAGCCGCCGCGGUAAUACCGGCGCCCCAAGUGGUAGUCGCUUUUAUUGGGCCUAAAACGUCCGUAGCCGGUCUGGUACAUUCGUGGGUAAAUCAAGGCGCUCAACGUCUUGAAUUCUGCGAGCACGGCCAGACUUGGGACCGGGUGAGGUGUGGGGUACUCUCAGGGUAGGGGUAAAAUCCUGUCAUCCUGAGAGGACCACCUGUUGCGAAGGCGCCACACUAGAACGGAUCCGACGGUCAGGGACGAAGCCUAGGGGCACGAACCGGAUUAGAUACCCGGGUAGUCCUAGGUGUAAACGCUGUGGACUUGAUGUUGGGGGCGCUCCGAGCGCACUCAGUGUCGAAGCGAAGGUGAUAAGUCCACUGCCUGGGGAGUACGGUCGCAAGGCUGAAACUUAAAGGAAUUGGCGGGGGAGCACCGCAACCUGAGGAUUGUGCGGUUUAAUUGGAUUCAACGCCGGAAAACUCACCAUAGCCGACGGACAUAUGAAGGCCAGCGUAACGAGCUUGCCGGAUUGUUCGAGAGGUAGUGCAUGGCCGUCGUCAGUUCGUACCGCAAGGCGUUCUGUUAAGUCAGAUAACGAACGAGACCCUCAUCCCUAUUUGCUAACCCGAUCUCCGGAUCAGGCGCACUAUAGGGAGACCGCUGGCGCGAAGUCAGAGGAAGGCGAGGGCAACGGUAGGUCAGUAUGCUCCGAAUGCUAUGGGCUACACGCGCAAUACAAAGGACGGGACAAUGGGCUGCUGCUCCGAAAGGAACGAUGGCUAUCCCGAAACCCGUUCGUAGUUCGGAUUGAGGGCUGUAACUCGCCCUCAUGAAGCUGGAUUAGGUAGUAAUCGCGUCUCAAAAAGGCGCGGUGAAUAUGCCCCUGCUCCUUGCACACACCGCCCGUCAAAC
This 1053-nucleotide ribosomal RNA is filed under the name marine metagenome. Its description in RNAcentral is "bacterial SSU rRNA". It matches the Rfam family "Archaeal small subunit ribosomal RNA", at positions 304 to 1358 of the family's 1478-position model. The record is from RNAcentral.